RNAcentral lists this ribosomal RNA (463 nucleotides) under uncultured Chitinophagaceae bacterium. Its description in RNAcentral is "bacterial SSU rRNA". It matches the Rfam family "Bacterial small subunit ribosomal RNA", at positions 335 to 796 of the family's 1533-position model. Lineage: Bacteria; Pseudomonadati; Bacteroidota; Chitinophagia; Chitinophagales; Chitinophagaceae. The record is from RNAcentral.
UGCCUACGGGAGGCAGCAGUAAGGAAUAUUGGUCAAUGGACGAAAGUCUGAACCAGCCAUGCCGCGUGGAGGAUGAAGGUCCUCUGGAUUGUAAACUUCUUUUAUAUGGGACGAAAAAAGGGUUUUCUAACUCGUCUGACGGUACCAUAUGAAUAAGCACCGGCUAACUCCGUGCCAGCAGCCGCGGUAAUACGGAGGGUGCAAGCGUUAUCCGGAUUCACUGGGUUUAAAGGGUGCGUAGGUGGGUUGGUAAGUCAGUGGUGAAAUCUCCGAGCUUAACUUGGAAACUGCCAUUGAUACUAUCAGUCUUGAAUAUUGUGGAGGUCAGCGGAAUAUGUCAUGUAGCGGUGAAAUGCUUAGAUAUGACAUAGAACACCAAUUGCGAAGGCAGCUGGCUACACAUCUAUUGACACUGAGGCACGAAAGCGUGGGGAUCAAACAGGAUUAGAUACCCCUGUAGUCU